AAGGGAGGAAAUAUGUUGCGUGUCUACGGUGUAUAUUGAUGACUGAAGAUGGAAAAUACGUUUCGCCGUUGCAACGGUCAAAAAUCUAAAAUUAUGUUGUAAUUCCUUAAAAUUCUGACCAUUAUUUCAUCUUAGAAUGUUGUGUGAAUACUUCAGAAUGAGAGCAACACGCGCACAGACAAUGUCGAAAAGAAAACAGUCGUCUGGUUUUCUUGUAGAGCGGAGACUCACAGCGCUACGAUCGGUAAUGCGCAGUUUACGACUUUUAGUCAUCGAUAUGGUUAUUGGCUGGGUUGUGGGUCGUGGUAGAACAAGGAAUACAUAUCGGCACGUUUGUUUUGGCCCUGAAAGCUUAUUGAGCACUAUUUAUUUUUUUAAAAAAAAGUACUCAGAUACUACCUGAAUGUCGGUCCUACAUUCUAUAUCUUGAGUAUAUUCAACCGUAGAGCAUCCUUCAGAAUGUUAACAAUCACCAGAAGAGUCAUAUAUCUGCUGAGUCUGCUUCUAUUGGUGACCAUUCCACCUACUUUUAGCGUCUGUUGUAAUAGUUAUACUUGGGCCCAGGACAUAGGAAAUAACUACUGCGAAGACGGCAGCUAUUGGAAUGCCAGUGUGCGGACCUGUUGCGGAAAAGGCGUCUGUAACAUUUUUUGCUGUAACUGCGAUGGUGGAUGUCUCGGUCAUAGAUGGGGACAUUGAACAUUUAUUCUUCCUCGCGGUAAUUAAACAAAAUAGUGGGAGGAAUAAUGGAAUAUGUACUUUAUGGCAUUUAUCAGAAUAAUUUAAAGGUGUAUUUCAGUCUCUGUAACGACUUUUUUUUUUCAUAAGUAGCUUUGAGAAUUAUAUCUUACUCCAUAUUUUGCUUGCAAGCCGUAUAAAAGGAUCAGAACUAGAGAGUCUUAAUUACACUGCAACGUCGCAAAGUUUUGUUUGACAAUUCUAUCAUUCACUCGAGAGCAAUUGUGAUUUUUUUGAAAAACAAUCGUAAACAUUUUCAUUACGAUUCAACGUAAAUCCCUUGGUAUUUUCAAAAUAAAACAUGCAUCCACAAUGAUAUAUAAAUAAUUCAUACAGUAAAACUUUGCAACAUUGCAAUGCAACUUUAUCCCUGUGACUCUGGUCCUUUUAUAUGAUUCGAAAGGCAUAGGCGUACCUGAAUCAUUUUGCUGGGGGGGGGGGGUGGCCCCCUCACCACCGGAGGAUCUGGGGGGUUGGAAUACCCCCUAGCUCAAAGGGAAAUCCAGGGGGCCUCCCCCGAAAAUAUUUUGAAAUUUUAACUAUAUUUGAGCGCAUCUCGAGGCAUCUGUGGCGCUAAUCAUCCUUCAAUUUCUGCACAAAAAUUACUCAGUAUCAUGUAUUUUAAGGUUAAAAUACCUUCAAAGUGUUGCAUUAAACAGGUUAUUCUGUUUAACUCUCACCUUUAACCACUCUUUUGUGUGAAAAUUGCGAAAAAAUGUUUUGUAAAUUGCCAGAAUCAUUGUUUUUUAUUUAGAAAAGCCCAUGCAAAGUAAGUUAAAUAUAAUAUAAUGAGCAAGAAGUAACUAUGAAUGAUUAAGCAUUUUUUCAAGUGUUUUUGCACCAUCCAGAAUUUCUGCGAGGGCGGCAGGCAGGGGGCCUGCGCCCCCCCCCCCUUCGUACGCCUCUGUCGAAAGGCUGAGAUUGAGAUAGCAACAUGCUUUUAUACCAAUCACAGCACGUAGCUUUCUUCCAGUGACACGGUUUUUCGUUCAAUGUAGUCUGCCCAUGGGCAACCCGAACCCCCUCCCCCCUUUAACCCCUCAAGCAUGAUUGGGUCUAUCAGUAAAGUUACUAGUUACCAUAUGUUCUUUAAUUUUAUAGAAAGUUCGUUCGUUACAUUACAUGUGAAUGCACGGAGUAGCUCGCGGAAAAGUUAUGAGCAAAACCUUUUCUCUGUUGCCAGCGUGGAAACAUUUUGUGCGUAGUGGAUUACUUCAUUACACACUUUCCUUUAUCAGUUUAAGACGUAAAGAUGCGUUUGAAGUGCCAUGAUUGACGAACGAUGAGAUGCAAACUGUUAAACAAUGACCAGUUGGCGGGCGGACGGCUAAUCAAUUUUUGCAAGUUAGAGCGCCUUCAUUUCAAUCUGAUACUGUGCAACACCUCUAAGCCGGAAUAGUUGCUUGAAGCGCCUUGAACAAUCUUGUGUUGUGCUAACCUGCUGGCAUGAUUGCGGCAGCAAUCGCAAAGCAUCGCUGAAAUUAUAAGAAUGUGUAUGUUUUAAGGCCUCUAUAUCGCGGAGGAUUAAAUUAUAAAGUCACACAGUUUGAUUGAGCAGCUUAUUCCAAGAAAUGUCCGAUUUCAAUAGGAAAAAAUCUGAGGAUAAGAACUUCAAGGACAAAAAUUGUAAGGUUUCGGCCGCAAAAUUUUUUGAUAAAUGGAAAACGUUUUUAAUGUAGGUUAUUCACAUUUUAGAAGAUGCCGCGUAGCCAAAAAUAUUACACUCUUCAAUCUUCUUAUAGUGCCGGGUGAACAAGUUUAAACCUUGCAGUCGGGAUCUUUUCAAAGCAAAAGAUUACAUUUUACAUUACAAUUUUUUUUUUAAAUUUUUAUGCAGCGUAACCCUCAGAUGCUUUUGCGAGUUUUUGAACGAUUUCUCAUUUGCAGUUUGAAAAUACUAUAAGAAAAUUUCAUUGAAUAAAGUAUAGUCUGGCCCGUCUAUAGUUUCAUCGAGAAAAAUUCGCUGUCAUUGCAUUAAAAAUUACGAUCUCUCUUGUGCAAAAGCGACGCACUUAAAAAAAAAAAAAAAAAAAAAAAAAAAAAAACUUACCAUUUAAAACAUUUAAAUGCUCUCUCGAAAUUUUCCCAAAAGAAAGUGUUUCGGCUUCCUUUAAUUUUCAUUCUUCAGUUUUUCAGAGAUCUCUUUCAAAAUCCUUCAUGGGUUUUUAUGCAAACUACGGUACCUGAAUAUUACUUUCCCCUUUCGUAAAAAAGAGAAAAACAAACAUGCAUGUUCUUCAACAUGCGGAGCAGAGUAAUUUUGGAGAGAAAAUUAACUGUCGUCAAGUCUUGAGAUCGCCCAUGUGUCGCGUCGCGUCACACGGCGCGGCGCUUCGAGCAACUAUUUCGCCAUGGAGGUGUUGCACAGUAUCAUACACAAUUGAAGGCGCUUCAAAAUAUCAAGAAUAGCAGGCAUAAUUUAAGAGUACGGAACUUUCCCGCGAAAUAAAUCGAGAUACAACACUAGAAGACAGCGGUUGUCCAAAAACUCAACAGAAACAUGCUUUCCCCCUUUAUGGUGGGGGAAAUUUAUAAUUCGUGCGAAUAAAAUCAAUAAAAUCAAUAUCCUAAUCAGAUACCAUAGUUUGCGGAAAAAAUGCAUGGAAGAUUUUGAAAGAGAUCUUUCAAAAAAAAUGAAGAAUGAAAAUUCAAGAAGCCGUCACUUUAUUUUGGGAAAUUUUCCGAAAGAGCGUCGAGAAAUUUUAUACAGAAAAAGGAUUAAAAUAUAACCCAUUUGAUUUGUUCUUUUCAAUUAAACAAUAUUUUAGUAAAAAAAUUAGUACCUAAGCAUGACUUACACACACUUACAAAAAAGUCUCGAAAAAGAAGAGGAACGGAGAGAGUUCUAUUUUUCUGUGAGAAAAUUACGUGAAAGAUGCCCUUAAAAAGCGAAUGAAUUUUCAUAGUUAAUUAAUCCGCAGUACUCUAGUACAGGGAAAAUUCAUUUAAUACUCAGCCUAAAGUGCGUCUGAUUUUACGCCCAUUAAGAAAGGAAAGAUCCUCAAAAAUUUGUUUGCUGUACUUGGCCUCACUAAACUUUAUUAAAGGUGUCGUAUGAUGUCAGGAGCUGGUAGCAAAAGGCUGUAUCUCAAAUUUAAGAAAAAAAUAAAGUAUUCACAUUUUUAAUAUUCUAUGAAGAUGCUCUAAAUAUAUAUAAGAAAAAAAAGGGAAAAAAUCCGUCGGAAUAUUUAACUCCAAUCGCGUAUCAUGUUAAAUUCCAAAAAUGGAGAAUUAAAUGCAAGCGCGAGACGGCAAGAGUAUGAGUUUCGAAUUCAUCACUCAUAAAACGCCUACAAUAUUGGGUACAGCAAAUUGCUGUGCAUCAUUACGUGGCCAUUCGGCCAUUUAUUGUAGUAAACAACAACAUAACCUCAAAAUUCCAUUGCUGUGUCUCGUUCUUGUUUUGCCUCUCAAUUUGCAGAUUUGAUUUUCGUUAAUUUAAAGAUACGGUGAUUUUUUUCUCUCUGCUCUAAAUCUUUCAUAUCAUAGUCGUUGGUUCUUAUAACACUGUCAAGUAACGGUUUUUCUUCUCCGUGCUCUAAUUUAGAGCCAUUCUAACUGAUUAGAUAGCAAACCUAGUGACAUCAUCUGACCUUAAGGGGCUGUUAUCAAUUAAUUUAAAUAAAUUACAAAGCCCAGAUAGAAGAUUCUUGUGAUCAGUGACCGACUGCCAAUGAUGAGCAGAAAUUCUGUCGAACAAGGUCAACCAGUUUGAAUUGUUACAAUGAUAGCAUUCUUCCUCAACACUUGGAUUCUGAUUGCCUCAGUUUGAAAAGUUGCGUUCUACUCGGAUCUGUUUGCCUGGUUGGCAUAAAAACAAGUCAGUUAUACAUCUUACGUUUUUAUGAUCCUACAAAUUAGGAAAACAACGUGAUCAUUCCAUUUUAAACGUUUUGGUCUUUGU
Molecule: long non-coding RNA, 4642 nt
Filed under: Bemisia tabaci
Lineage: Eukaryota; Metazoa; Arthropoda; Insecta; Hemiptera; Aleyrodidae
Description: lncRNA ENSASIAIIG010121
Source: RNAcentral